GGGAUUGUAGCUCAGUGGUAGAGCGCUUGCCUAGCAUGUGUGAGGCACUAGGUUCAAUCCUCAGUUCCA
RNAcentral lists this transfer RNA (69 nucleotides) under Ictidomys tridecemlineatus (thirteen-lined ground squirrel). RNAcentral's name for it is "Spermophilus tridecemlineatus (thirteen-lined ground squirrel) tRNA". It matches the Rfam family "tRNA". Rfam says of the family: Transfer RNA (tRNA) molecules are approximately 80 nucleotides in length. Their secondary structure includes four short double-helical elements and three loops (D, anti-codon, and T loops). The record is from Rfam by way of RNAcentral. Lineage: Eukaryota; Metazoa; Chordata; Mammalia; Rodentia; Sciuridae.